Molecule: ribosomal RNA, 255 nt
Filed under: uncultured bacterium
Lineage: Bacteria
Description: partial 16S ribosomal RNA
Rfam family: Bacterial small subunit ribosomal RNA
Source: RNAcentral
UACGUAGGGGGCAAGCGUUGUCCGGAAUCAUUGGGCGUAAAGCGCGUGUAGGCGGCUCGAUAAGUCUGCUGUGAAAGUUCAGGGCUCAACCCCUGAAAUGCCGGUGGAAACUGUCGGGCUAGAGUCCGGAAGAGGCGAGUGGAAUUCCUGGUGUAGCGGUGAAAUGCGCAGAUAUCAGGAGGAACACCAAUGGCGAAGGCAGCUCGCUGGGACGGUACUGACGCUGAGACGCGAAAGCGUGGGGGAGCAAACAGG